GGCGGGCCGCCCCGCAUUGCAUGGUGGUGAACCUGGUCAGGUCCGGAAGGAAGCAGCCAUAGCCGACCUCCGCAAGUGCCGGGGGUACGGCUCGCCACC
RNAcentral lists this signal recognition particle RNA (99 nucleotides) under Betaproteobacteria bacterium. RNAcentral describes it as "signal recognition particle sRNA small type". It matches the Rfam family "Bacterial small signal recognition particle RNA". From Rfam's summary of the family: The signal recognition particle (SRP) is a universally conserved ribonucleoprotein involved in the co-translational targeting of proteins to membranes. Lineage: Bacteria; Pseudomonadati; Pseudomonadota; Betaproteobacteria. RNAcentral also lists the same sequence under 1 other name. The record is from RNAcentral.